GGUUAAUGUUUAAGAUUGCAAAUCUUGCUAUGGCGGUUCAAUUCCGCCCUUAACCU
This 56-nucleotide transfer RNA is filed under the name Paulinella micropora. RNAcentral describes it as "tRNA-Cys". It matches the Rfam family "tRNA", at positions 17 to 71 of the family's 71-position model. Rfam says of the family: Transfer RNA (tRNA) molecules are approximately 80 nucleotides in length. Their secondary structure includes four short double-helical elements and three loops (D, anti-codon, and T loops). Lineage: Eukaryota; Cercozoa; Imbricatea; Euglyphida; Paulinellidae. The record is from RNAcentral.